AGUGAACGCUGGCGGUAGGCCUAACACAUGCAAGUCGUACGGUAGCACAGUAAGAGCUUUCCACUACGGGCGGCGAGUGGCGGAAGGGUGAAGUAAACAUCGGACUCUAUUUUUUCGUGGGGGGUAACCUAGGGAAACUUACGCAUAUAUGCCACACGACCAUCGGGUGGAAUGAGAGGCUCCGCGGGCUUUGGGUGAAUGCGUGGGCCGUUGGCGGGUUAGCUGGUUGGUGGGGUAAAGGCGCACCAAGGCGACGAUCCGUUGCUGGUCUGAGCGGGUGAUCCGCCACACUGGAACUGAGACACGGUCCAGACUCCUACGGGAGGCAGCAGUGGGGAAUAUUGGACGAUGGGCGCAAGCCUGAUCCAGCCAUGCCGCGUGGGUGAAGAAAGCCUUCGGGUUGUAAAGCCCUUUUGUUGGGAAAGAAAAGCAGCAGGUUAAUACCCCGCUGUUCUGACGGUACCCAAAGAAUAAGCACCGGCUAACUUCGUG
RNAcentral lists this ribosomal RNA (492 nucleotides) under uncultured bacterium. RNAcentral's name for it is "partial 16S ribosomal RNA". It matches the Rfam family "Bacterial small subunit ribosomal RNA", at positions 29 to 507 of the family's 1533-position model. The record is from RNAcentral.